Molecule: ribosomal RNA, 1422 nt
Filed under: metagenome
Description: bacterial SSU rRNA
Rfam family: Archaeal small subunit ribosomal RNA
Source: RNAcentral
GUUUAUCCUGCGGGAGACCACUGCUUGUAGAAUUCUUGAGACAUGCAAGUUUAUGAGCAAUCAUGGCGAAAGGCUCAGUAACACGUCAAUAAUCUAACCUAUGGUAAGGCAUAACUUCGGGAAACUGAGGGUAAUUCCUUAUAGACAAAAGCUACUGGAAUGUGCUUUUGUUCAAAGCUUCGGCGCCAUAGGAUGAGUUGGCGGCAGAUUAGGCUGUUGGUAAGGUAAAGGCUUACCAAACCUAAGAUCUGUAAGGGGGAUGAGAGUCCUAGCCCUGAGAGGGAGGCUGAGAUAAGGCUCCCAGCCCUACGGGGUGCAGCAGUUCUGAAUACUUCACAAUGCGCGAAAGCGUGAUGAGGGGAUUCUACGUGCAUGCGCUUUUUGUGUAUGCUUUUCUGAAGUCCAAAACGCUUCAGGAAUAAAGGGUGGGCAAGACCGGUGCCAGCCGCCGCGGUAAUCCCGGCGCCCUUAGUGGUGGUCAUGAUUAUUGGGUCUAAAGCAUCCGUAGCCGGCCGAGUAAGUUUUUAGUGAAAUCUGGCAGCUCAACUGUCAGGCGAGCUGAAAAUACUGCUUAGCUUGAGACUGGGAGGAGUUAGAGGUAUUCUGGGGGGAGCGGUAAAAUGUUUUAAUCCUCAGAGGACCGCCAGCGGCGAAGGCGUCUAACUAGAACGGGUCUGACGGUGAGGGAUGAAAGCUAGGGGAUCAAAGAGGAUUAGAUACCCUCGUAGUCCUAGCUGUAAACGCUGCCUGUUAGGUGCUGCAUGUUUUUCGUGAGCAUGCAGUGUCGUAGAGAAGUCGUUAAACAGGCCACCUGGGGAGUACGGUCGCAAGGCUGAAACUUAAAGGAAUUGGCGGGGGGCUACCACAAGGAGUGGGUGCUGCGGUUCAAUUGGAGUAUACGCCCGGAAACUCACCAGAGGCGACAGCAGAAUGAAGGUCAACCUGAAUGGUUCACUCGACGCGCUGAGAGAUGGUGCAUGGCCGCCGUCAGCUCGUGCCGUGAGGUGUUCUGUUAAGUCAGACAACGAGCGAGACCUAUGCUUUCAGUUGCUACUGUUUUCAUUGAGGACAGGCACACUGAAGGGACUGCUCUCGAAAGGGAGAGGAAGGUGUAGGCUACGGUAGGUCAGUAUGCCUCGAAUCCUCUGGGCUACACGCGGCAAGCAAUGGUUGAAACAACGGGCUGCAACUCCGAAAGGAGAAGCUAAUCCCUUAAAUUCAAUCUUUCCGAAUCGAGGGUUGCAACUCACCCUCGUGAAAACGAAAUUCCUAGUAAUCGCGCGUUAGCAUCGUGCGGUGAAUGUGUCCCUGGCCCUUGCACACACUGCCUGUCACGCCAACCGAGUUGGGUUGGGAUGAGGCUCAGCUUUUUGGUUAAGUCGAAUCCUGGUUCAGCGAGGCGGGCGAAGUCAACACAAGGUA